Long non-coding RNA from Columba livia (rock pigeon), 1469 nucleotides. RefSeq lists it as uncharacterized. The record is from RefSeq and is a predicted model, not a curated record. NCBI's taxonomy places the organism in Eukaryota, Metazoa, Chordata, Aves, Columbiformes, Columbidae. The transcript is spliced from 2 exons.
CCCGCCCGCUCCGGCCCCGCCAGGCUGGCCCCGGCACCCCGCGGGCUCUGCCCGCCUGGCCCAGCCCCUGCCCGGGUACUGCCGCCCGCUCCCCGCUCCCGGCAGCGCGGUGCCGAGCCGCAGUGACUGCUCACCCGCACCUCUCCUCUUGUGCAGCUCAGCCCCGCGGCAGGGAGCGCGGUCUGCUCCUCUUCGUCGCACUUUUAUUUUGCUGAGAAAAACGGGAGCGUGUGUUUGCAAUUGUCACCUCUGAGUCCUGUCAGUCCUCCAUUUCUCCUAGAGGUCAUCCAAUAAACCAGGAAUUCCUGUCCCGACAUUUCUGAUGGAUAAAUACCAAUAAAUCGUCGCGUCGAUCUUCACAGGCUGAAAAGAAGCAAUACAGAGGCCAAGAAAAAUUGUUAGUGUUGCAUUUAAGUUCUCUGUAAUUGUUUGUACAACAUUGUAUCUACAGAAAAAGCACCAUGAAUCUUGAAAGGAGAAUAAAGUGAAUACUUACUACAUUCAGGGAUCAAGAGAUGCUGCCUCUAUUUCUAUCGCUUGCUGACGCUGUAAAAAUGCACCUUUAUUUGUCCCUUUCCAGCUUGGUUUUGUCUACGGACAGUUGACAGCUCUUUGGGAACAAGGAUCAGCUCUCACAUGGCAUAAAGAGAUUACUGUGAUACAAGUAGUAAUACCGUUGCAGAGCAUCCUUCUGGCUACCCAAUCAGCUUUUAACCAAGGCAGUACACACAGGCACACAUGCAAACCUGGAAAAGGGAAUUGCCUUUUUUUUUUAAAAAAAAAAACAUGGAUAUUUUAUAUAAAUCUUUAAUUCUGAAGAAACUGGCAGCACUCCACAAGUCACAAGCUGAAUCUUGUCAAGUGAUGAGAACUCUAAUCUUGAUCCAGGAAAACAGUUACACACAUGCCCAACUCCAAGCAUAUUGAAGACUUACUGAUCUGUGGGUGUGAAAUCUCCCAUCCUUCCAGCAAACAGAGCUGCAAAGAACACACUUCUCCACAAAAGAAGCCAAGGAAGGAUCAACACCGGUUAAACACUCUGACUGAAAGAUAGCAGAAAGUCCAUAGAGUUGAAAGACUUGUUUUUUACAGGUACCAUUUGAAAGACUCCUGUUACACGGGUGUGUGCAACUCAGCUUUCCUAGAAGGGCUGAACUGUCUGUUGGCUCAGACUGUACAACCUGCAAAGUGAAGACAGAAUGGAUACUACUGGUGCCUGUUAAUGUGUCAUCAGGCAGGGUAAAGACUUUUGAGAGACAUGGGAAGAUGGACUUGCCGUGGGGCGUGACAUGAAUCUCAGGUUGGUCACAAGGUGACUCAGGAAAUCUUGAGUCUCCCAAAGACCAAAAUGAGUGCACACAGGGGAAGACCUGACAUCUCUGCAUAAUAAAAGAAAUUAAUUCUGGUAAAGAUCCUCAGGAGCACUGUAUCAGAUUCUAGUAAUUAAAGAUAUUCUUAAGUUCCUUUGA